This 225-nucleotide ribosomal RNA is filed under the name uncultured microorganism. Its description in RNAcentral is "partial 16S ribosomal RNA". It matches the Rfam family "Bacterial small subunit ribosomal RNA", at positions 9 to 234 of the family's 1533-position model. The record is from RNAcentral.
GAGUUUGAUCGUGGCUCAGAUUGAACGCUGGCGGCAGGCUUAACACAUGCAAGUCGAGCGGGGGAGAUUGCUUCGGUAAUUGACCUAGCGGCGGACGGGUGAGUAAUACUUAGGAAUCUGCCUAUUAAUGGGGGACAACAUCUCGAAAGGGAUGCUAAUACCGCGUACGCCCUACGGGGGAAAGCAGGGGAUCACUUGUGACCUUGCGUUAAUAGAUGAGCCUAG